This 29-nucleotide non-coding RNA is filed under the name Mus musculus (house mouse). Lineage: Eukaryota; Metazoa; Chordata; Mammalia; Rodentia; Muridae. The record is from RNAcentral.
UCAUCUAUAGGUGACUGCCAAGGGAUAAC